CUCAGAUUAAAUUAUUACAGAAGUUGUUAUCAAAGACCAUGUUCCUAAUCUAUGCAUUAUGCUGUCUCAGUGUGAAGUUGUGAUGAAACGUUGUGAUUAGUAAUCUCUGGGAAGUCAGAAUUCUGUGCCUGUUGGUACUUAGUCUCAAGAAAUCCCAAGACGGCUCUGUAGUACAAACAUUGGCUUUUUCAAGCCCACACACACCCUGACUUCCUGUCUGACAGUUCUCAUCUCCUGAAACUGGUGCUGUUAGAUGCUAAAUCUAAUCAGGCUGAAAUAUUUGUCCAUUCCCAAGCACUCUGUGUUCUUGUUUUUCUCAUCCUUAGUACCUGCCUGGAAUAUUUUAUUGUACCAUUGUACUAAUCUACCUCCAUCUCCACUCCUCUUUCCAUCCUCAAAGAGUAUGAGUUCCUAGUAUACAGGGGGUUAAAUCUCAUUCAUUUCUAUAUCCCCAGUGCCUAACGUGCUUGAAUUUAUACAUGCAUUCAUUCUACUUAUAUUUAGAAAACAAUGUACACAGAGGCCCUCUAUAGAAAGUUUGCUGAAUGAUGACAAGUGAUGAAUAAGGUCACCAAAGCCAUAGGGAGAAGAUGGCAUAAGGUACUAGUUCUCAGUCGUAUUUGGGUCUCAGAAUUUUGAAAAUUGGUUGAAAGAUAUUGACCUGCCCCAGCAAAAUGUACAUACCAACCUAUACAGUCCAUUUUUCCUGAUCCCAGCUUAAGAAUCCAUGUGUAGUUGGUAGGAGCCACAACCUUUGGGCAAAGUAAUGUGGCAUAUCUUUGACUCCAUAACCCCACUUUUUGGGAAUCUGUCUUACAGAAAUAAAAGUACCCAGUAUAUCUGUACAAAGAUAUUCAUUAUGUUAAAAGGAAAAAAUAGUCCCCAAAUUUAAAAAUGGGAAAACUGAAUAUUCUGUAUCUUUGCAGCUUGAGAAAAAUCAUGGAAAUGGCUUAUUUAAAAUUAGAACUUGUUUUAAGUGUUCUGCUUCUGUUCUCAAAUCAGAUCUCAGAUGUUCCGAUCUUUGUUUGCUUCAAAAUUGUUGGGACAAAACCUUGUUGUCAGACACAGAUGUAUCCUUAUCAUUUAUUUCUUUGAUGUGUACAGUUAUUGUGGUUCAUUGACUGGCAGCAUAUUCUGCAUCUCAGGCCAUCCUUCCACAAACACUCUUUGUAACAACACACAUGGCCAUUUUUUUAUGACCUUGUGAAAUGAAAUGGCAAUCAUUCUUAUGUAUUUUAAACUAGCACUUUCUGUAAGGAUUUUAUAUGACCUCUCCAUUUUCAUGCUGUGUCUGAACUGGCAUACUUUUGUCAUCUUGCUGCUUCUCUGGUUAACAAGUGCAUUGGUAAUGCUCAAGAGAAAUUUGUGUAAGAAAUUUUGUUUUUAGUGAUCACAAUGGUAAAAAAUUGGAAAAUUCUAAAUGCUCAUUGUGCCAGUUAUUAAUUGAUUUGCCUUUCAGCUCCAAAUCUAACAUUCAUUGCUUGUCUGCAAUAAUGGAGCUGGACUCUAUAAGCAUUUCUUACUUGCUCGCUGGUAAAAUACUAAGUUUCGUCAGUAGAGGGCACUGGAGAAUACCAUAGGAGGAAGGGUCUUCUCUUAGUUCCAGUGUGCUUCUGUUCUUGGUCCUACUGUGUGGCUGCCAGUGGCAUGUAUAGGGGGUAUCCAAUGGCACUCACUCCUAUUCAGUAUGAGUGGUGUAGACUAUUUCCCAAUGAGUUUCAGUGGCACCCCCACAGGUAGUUUUGCCAAUGAGUUCCACCAGCACCCCAGAGGGCAGCUUCCUGAUAAAAUCUAAUAGCACACUCCCAGAGUGUGGAUUCUCAGCAGAGAUCAGUAACCCACACAGAACCACCUCUGGAGCUUUCCAGCACAUUCCACCAGCUCCCCAAGAGUGGUUCCCUACUUACUAGGCCUGCCCUGCCCUGCAGCAGCUCACUAGACUUCUAUUUGAUCCAGUUGGCCGUGGCUACAACCUCUCACCCCCGAAGGGGAGAGGGUUCUUCCAAAUUUGUUGCUUCCUUGACUGCUCUUCCUCAGCCAUAGAGGUAGUGGCUGCUCCCUAUAUAUGCCAUUCCUGUAUUCUUUAGAGCUCUCUUUACUGCUUUUUUAGUUAAUCUUUUGUUCCUAGUUAAUAAUACUCUAUUACAUUUUUUGUAUUCUGAUUACAAAUACAAUCGGUUCCUGUCUCGUGAUUGGGCUUUGACUGAUAACACCCAUCAUUAGGAGAAAAAUUAAAUAAACUGCAGAGCAUUACACAGAAAUGUAAAAAGAGUAAAUUAGACUUCUGCUUCUGCCCAGGAAAGAUGAACUGCUACACGAAUUGCCUUCUCACCACAACAAAGAGAAAAUUGAACGAAAUAUAUGAAACAGUUGCUUUCAGAUCUGGGACAAAAGGCAGCACAAGACUGAUCUCUGAGAGAAAAGAAACAAAAGAGCCUCCAACACUAAAGUGGAAAGAGAGGUGGCCUGUUCAGGAGAGCAAGGCACGACUGAGGAGCCAAGCAAGCUGGGCUUUGGAUGAAGAUCUGCAGCUGAACGAUGUGGAAGGGAUAUAAGUAUCCCCCAGGAGGGAACCCGGUGGAAACAAGCAAAGAUGAUCCUGGUGAAGUAAUGCAGCUCUGAAGCUAACCUGACCAGCUAUACAGUUCCUGUUAUUGGUCUCGCAUAAAACAAUUGCACAUUA
RNA transcript from Choloepus didactylus (southern two-toed sloth), 2683 nucleotides. It is a transcript of the gene named SPTY2D1 opposite strand, with no coding region annotated. Lineage: Eukaryota; Metazoa; Chordata; Mammalia; Pilosa; Megalonychidae. The transcript is spliced from 4 exons. The record is from RefSeq and is a predicted model, not a curated record.